GCCGCCGCCUCUGAAGCAGAAGCAACAACAACUGCUCCUGUUGAGGUGAAGGAGAAAGAGAUAGUUGUUGAAGCAGAAGCAAAGAAAGAGGAAGAACCAGCACCAGCACCAGCACCAGCACCUGCACCUGCACCUGCACCUGCACCUGCACCUGCACCUGCGGCGGCACCUGCAGCUGAGGUGGCACCUGCUGAGGUAGCACCUGCAGCUGACGUGGCACCUGCCAAGGUGGAAGAAGCACCUGCAGCAGUAGCAGCACCAGAACCACCAAAAGCUUGAUGAAUCUUUCAAUUUGUUUGUCUCUCUGUGUAAGAGUUGAUUUUUUAUUUUAUUUUUCUUUGUCUGUUGAUUUUUCUGUGUUUUGUGGUCACUGUAUAAGAAAGAAGACAAAAACAUGAUUUGUUAUAUUUUUUGUUUGUGUUUUUCUCCCUUCUCUCUUUCUCGUGUUAGUUUGUACUUUGUACAAUAUUCUAUGUACAUUUUUCAAAGUUUUUCCUUUUGAUUCUUCAAUACUAUAAAAUGUGCCUUGAUAUAUAUGGUUUCUCAUUUCCUUUUUUCUCAGCUGACUU
This 569-nucleotide long non-coding RNA is filed under the name Nicotiana benthamiana. RNAcentral's name for it is "long non-coding RNA (NBEN_LNC037876)". Lineage: Eukaryota; Viridiplantae; Streptophyta; Magnoliopsida; Solanales; Solanaceae. The record is from RNAcentral.